This 389-nucleotide long non-coding RNA is filed under the name Brassica rapa (field mustard). RNAcentral describes it as "long non-coding RNA (BRAP_LNC004409)". Lineage: Eukaryota; Viridiplantae; Streptophyta; Magnoliopsida; Brassicales; Brassicaceae. The record is from RNAcentral.
GGGCAUCUGCCCCCAACUCAUUUUAAAACAUUUGACUAAUUUUAAAUAUGCUCUUAUGUUUUUAACAAAUCUAUCCUUAGUUCUAUGAACAAUUUUAAUUGUGCCUUUACAAAAAAAAAAUUAUAGCUCCGCCCCUGAUCAUUUGCGUGUCGUCAAACUGAUUGAAAUAAUUAUUUACAUUUAUGAUAUUUUUUAUCAUCUGUUUCAUUUAUAAACGAAAGCUGAAAACAAACAAAAAAGCCUAAAAAAGGCCAGCAAAUAAAAAAAGUCAAAGGCCCAAACAAGCAAACCAAAAAGAAGUGUAAUGAAAGAUGGUGGUCUAGCUCAAGCUCAUCCACACGUUGAGAUGCUAGCGAGGAUGGGACACGUACCCGAGAAUUGAACCGCCA